RNAcentral lists this long non-coding RNA (3409 nucleotides) under Marmota monax (woodchuck). The record is from RNAcentral. Lineage: Eukaryota; Metazoa; Chordata; Mammalia; Rodentia; Sciuridae.
AGCGGAGAAGACCUGAGCCCUGCCCCAACCCCGGUGAACCACACCAGCACAACACAAGGGGCUGUGGCCCUGGGUCUGGACCACUGGGGGCUGCGGAAGCGGUUCCUUCUCCCCUAAAGCAGCGUUCACCUGGAGGUAGGCAGGCGGCCCCUGGUGAGGAACAACACAGGAUGGUCUUACAAGAAACCUUCAGGCGCGCAAAACACUUAACAUGUAAGAAAACCAGCUCCCGCUGCACCGGGUGGGGUCCAGGGCCACCUUCCCUGAACGCCCGGGUUCUAGGAACUGCUGAGGCAGCAGGCCAAGGGUCGGGGGCUGGGCCUUGGGGAGAGAGCGCAAGAAAGGUGACCUGGGUGGCCUCCGUCGCCCGCCAGCAGCCACGGCCCCCGUCGGCGCGCAUCAGGCCCCGCGCCCUGGCGGGGCAGUCGGCCGCUCCCGGGGCUCCCCCCUCGCAGGCUUCGGGCUCGGCUCGGACCCGGCGCGCGGCUGGGAGGGCACCGGCGGCCGCGCUCAAACCUGCGCGAAGGUGGCGGGGCUGCGCGCCUCUGCCGCCGGGACCGCAGAAGCCGCGAGCGGGGUGCGCUCCGCCUCAGCCCGCGGCCGGGGUCCCUCCGGGCGACGCGGGCGGCGCACGCGGGACACUGAGGGCGGGCGGGCUCCCGGGGUCGGCGGCAGGAAUCACACGGCGGCGGCGGACCGAGGCCCCGGACACGUGCGGCGGUCCUGCGGGAGCCCGCCCGCCCCGCCAUCUCUGGCUCGCGCUGCCUCUUACCUGCCGGCCGCGGCGGGACGGGCGGGCGGGCGUCGCGGCAGCCGCCGCCUGGCGCGAGCGCGGACGAGCUAGACGCGGUGGGGCGCGGGCGGCGGGCGGCGGCGCGCGUGCGCGGGGGGCGGGACGGCGGGGUGGGGCGACGGACGGCAGCGAGGGCCAUAAAGCCUUGGAGGGCGCACCGCCUUAAAGGAGCCGCAUACGACCCGCGUUUUCUACCGGAAGCGUUAGCUUAAGCUUGGCGGAUGUGGGCCAUUCGCCUGUUCCUUCUAGGGUACGCUGGAGCGUGUUGCUGGGUCCCUUGCGCCGGUACGGCCCGGGCCGGCGCCCCAGGACAGGCGUCCGCUCCUGGUUCCUCGAGGGCCCACGCCUGACCCCUGCAGGCCAGCGCUCCUGGGCCGCCCCAGCCCGAGGCCAGGUGGCCUCCCUGUCCGCCCGCUCAAACUCGGACUUUAUUCGGGAGAGAAGGCUCGUUCAGAGAGCUGUGCACCCGUGUCCGGGCACGCUGGGAGAGUGGCACCUGUGGAGAAGGGGGCUGCCUGAGGAUAGGAGGGGCGGGGUGGACACGUUCAGUUGCCGAACCCGGCCCUCCAUCACCUAGACUAGCUUUUAAAGCCUCUGGCACCUUGUAACUACCCCUUAGAUGGCGCCAGAUGACUGCGGUCAAAGGGGGAAGGUGACCAGAAUUCCUGCUCCUGGCACCCAGAGGGAUUGUACGUGAAUUCCGGUCCCUUCUGUGAGCCUGCAGGCUGCUCUGCUGUGGGUGAGUGGUGGCACAGCCUUCUCUCCUGGGGUCCUUCUCUGCCUCCCUUUACAAAUGAGGAAGGGGACACCCAGAGAGGAGGCCACGCGGGCGGGAGGAGAGCCUAAGCUGGUCUUCUGCAGCCCCAUGGGUCUUCAAAUCUUAGGGUGGCAUGACCCCACAGCCCCAAGGCUCAACACAGGCCUAGGUAGGGUACUCUACAGCCUUCUGUCUUCCAGUUAAAAGAGCACCAGGCACGCCUGUAAUUCCAGCAGCUGAGGCUGAGGAGGCUGAGGCUGGGAAUCCCAAGUUCAAAGCCAGCCUCAGCAAUUUAGCAAAACUCUGUCUCAAAAUAAAACCUAAAAAGGGCUGGCUCAGUGGUUAAGUGCCCAUGGGUUCUACCUCUGGUACAAAAAAAAAAGUGAGGGCUGGGGUUGUGGCUCAAGUGGUAGAGCACUUGCCUAGCAUGUGCAAGGCACUGGGUUCUAUCCUCAGCACCACACAAAAAUAAAUAAAUAAAGGUACUGUGUCCAAUUACAACUAAAAAACAAGAUUUUUUUUUAAAAAGCAUGCCAAAUGAUACAGGAACUGUUAAAGCUCCAUCCUUGUCCCCAUGCCAAUCCAAUAACAAAGACAUGGUUUUGAGGAAAAGAAGUUUUAUUGUUUUCUAGUAAAGGAGAAGCACAGAGAACUCCUGUCCCAGAAGCUGUGAUUCUGCCCAUCAAGGGGAUCAGGAGGCUUUUAAGGAGAUGAUUCAAAAGCAUGUGUUCUCUGUUGGAGCUGUAAUUCACUUGUUAACUUGGGAGAUAGUCAUUUCUGAGAUCUUCUGGAACCAUCCCCAAAGUCUGAAUUACUUUGUUCCUGUGGUGUGUAUGUGUGUGCUCAAGGACAGGUAACUCUGCCUAGGAUGGAUUGCUAAUCCUGCUUCCCCCUGAGAUUAGGGAGAAGGAGCAAUUAGGGAGUAGCAGGGAGAGAAAGAGAAAGAAUGUGAGGAUGGUCUUGGGCCUGAGCCUAAGCAAUUCCAUUUUAAAAACUCCAGUUUGAAACCUGCAGUCUCACCACACUUGCCUAACAGAGCCCUCUAGUAUGGCUCCCCGGCACAAACAAGUCACUUCUCCCCGCCCUGAUAAACUCAGAGUGAAGCCUCUGGAAAGCUGGCCUCCUCGGAUAGGAGGGAAAGACCUGAGAAAAGGUAAAGGUGAAAAGAUCAGGGUGGGGACCACCAGGCCAGAUGUUUUAACCCCAGGGUAAAUGAUGUCCCUGAGAAAUCCCGUGGUAGCUGAUAAGGAUUGAAGAGGGGUCAAAAGCCCCAAAAUUUAGUAUAAAUAAUAGAGCAAAUGAACAGAUAUUCAGCCAGACGAAACUGAUGCCUACAAGCUGGAGAGCCUGAUGAGGACCUGGACUGACAUCCCAUCACCUGUCAUUCUUUGCUGAUCCCCUGCGUCUUCCUCACCGCUCUCCAACUCUACAGCCAUAUCUUGACCCUGGUGAGAGCAGCAACUUCUCCCUACAGCCCCCUCCUCAGCCAGCCGCCUGCUGCGUCCCAGGAGAAGCCUGCCUUGGUUCCUGACCUGAUCACCUCCGUCUGAGUGAGUGGGCAUCUGUGGACUUAGAGCCUAAGGCUGGAGACUUUAGACCUGGCACUUGAGCUUAAUUUGCAGAGGGAAUGUCUGUCAUUAGCCUGUCAUGAUUAAGUGUGUUUGCAGGCUUAGAAUUAAUUAAUCUAGGAUUGUUUGCUGUGAAUUAAUUAAUCUAGGAUUGUUUGCUGUGAAUUGAUUAUGUCCAUUGCAGUGCCCAGCAUUAAGGAUUGCCGUUUUCUUGAUUAAGAACCUACAGAGUGAAAUUGUAUUGAGCGAGUUGAGUGAAUAAAGCAUUGACUAGGGCAGAAGCGCGUGGAC